Labeo rohita (rohu) is the source of this 1090-nucleotide long non-coding RNA. RefSeq lists it as uncharacterized. The record is from RefSeq and is a predicted model, not a curated record. Lineage: Eukaryota; Metazoa; Chordata; Actinopteri; Cypriniformes; Cyprinidae. The transcript has 4 exons.
UAUUUUCACAGUAAUGUUCCGAAAACAGUUUUAAUUGUAAUAAAUUACUGCUAAAUCUUGUAAAACCCUGGAGGUUUUUUACAGAGUGAUAUUUAUACGUCCCGCUACAGGGCAUGGAAGUUCAGCGGUUUCGAGGAGGGCCGAAACAACCUCAUCUCCUCUGCUCGAUCAGAAACCACCAGCAUGCAGAAUUCAUUUUGGAAUGGGGCUUUCAUUCUUCUCUGGGUAAACGGUUUGCUCACGAAUGAAUACCAGAAGCACAGAUCUGUGCAGAAUCAAGGAUAUGUGCCUCAGCGUAAGAGGAAAUCCCCUGUGACGACCCCACACCACAAACUUUGUACACAGUUGUUUCUGCAUAUUCGUCACAUCUUUUGCCCACUCAUGAAAAGAGGAAAUGCUCUUUAAAGGACGACUGGGAAUUGUUUAGCCUCCUUAAGAUCAGCAUAAUUGGUGUAUUGGCCGUCAGGACUUUCUUGGAGAACUUCUGAAACCUAACAGACUGUAAAUAAUUGAAAUGUCCCUGGUGGGACCGUUUGGACAAGGACAAGAGCUAUUACCAUCCACAAUGCCAUUUCGCCAAGGAAAAGUGCACGCAGCUCGCAGCACACCUCUUUAUCGUGGGAAAUUCCAAUUCAGCAUUAUCUUUUGCCUUGGGGCUCCUCUGGUAAUCGCUACAAUCAAUGAACACAACUGUUUUUUAACUCAUAUGAGUCAUUACAUCACAAGACAGAAAUCAUUAUGUGAUUAAUCAGUGUAAAAUUGCUGUAAUGAUUUUGCCUUUUACUAAAUUAUGUCUUUCUCAGCCAUUUAACUCAUGAUCAGAAGAGCGUGAGUGUUGUUCAGCCGCGGAUAAGUGUCGUUACUAAAUUAUCUUAAUGCUUUACAAUUAAAUAGAUCAUAGAGAAAGGGGUUCCCCAGUUGACACUAGGACACAAUUAAAAUCAGCAUGUGUUAAAUUCUUGACCGCAGAUCUCUUGGCAAGGAUCCACAGCAGAUGGAAGCAGGAUUUUGUCUUUAUGAACGUUGCGACAUCUUACUGGUAACCAUUCGAGCGGGAAUGUGUCCGUUGUAAUGUUUUUAACUUGUCAUG